RNAcentral lists this non-coding RNA (185 nucleotides) under Chromera velia. Lineage: Eukaryota; Chromeraceae. The record is from RNAcentral.
CACAAACAAAAAGAACGAAAGAAGGACGGAAGGGAAGCAGCAAGGGAGACCGAACGAGACAGUCAGUGCCGUUUCUUUCUUUCUUUCUUUCUUUCUUUUCUUUCUUUCGGCAUCGCCCUGUCAGUCACUCUGCCAACACAAGGGGGGAAAGAAGGUGACACAUGAUUACGGUGAAGAUAAGUCAA